UGCCCAUUUUAAUCAUUUUCAAGUGUACAAUACAGUGGGAUUACGUUUAUAUACAAUUUUGUGUAACCAUCUCGACUGUUUCCAGAGCUUAUUUUUUUAUUUUUUAUUUCUUAAGCUUUACCAGGAUAGAAUGCUUAAGAAUUAAGAGGGAAAAAUACAUGACUUUGCUUUAAAGUGAGAUCAAGAAGCAAUUGUUUGCCAUCUUCCUUCCUGGGAAAGGAGACUGACAGUUCCUGAGGCAGCUCUUGUCAAGGGAAGGAAUGGAAAGGAAAGAAGUGCUCAGGAGGCCCCCAAAAGGACUUUGGCACUCACCAAUGCAGCCAGACGAUGAAUAACACAGUGGGGGUGCAUGGCUAAGUAUAAUGCAAAAAGACAAGUUGAGUAUCAAUUCCACAUCAUUGGUUGGGUGCCGUGAAGAGCUGGAUCCAGCUCAGCAGGAAAGAGUGGUUUCAUCGACUGUCGAGAUUGCCAUAAGCACGAUGGGAGACAGUGGGAACUCACAUGUUAUACGUCUAUAUCUACCUUCCUGGUUUAAUGAUCACUAACAAAUUGAUCAUGACCUUUGGAUCUGAACAACAUUGGUUCUUCACCAAAAUAAAAUCCACUAUCAAUGGAUGAGGAUUUGCUACCCAUGGAUUCUUAAAUAGGGUAUGCCACAGGCUUUUGAAGAUUCUUCCAAAGAUGAUGAACUAAAAUGAUUUGCGCAACGGAAGCUUCAUUAGUGUAAAAGUAUGGUCUUCUAAAAGUAUUAUACUGAAGGCCAAAAUUCACUCGAAUGUGUAACUUCCUGUUAGCUUGUUUAAUAAACCAUUCAUUUUGCAUUAGGCUCUCAUGCCACGUACAGCAUGUCACCAUGUACUGAAUCAGAAUGAUGCGCAUAGGCUGACCCUGCACUAAUCUCUGGGAAGGCACAGUGAUGCAAACAAGGAGCCCAGGUGAAUCCUUAGCCUCUAACAGAGAUGGAAUCGGAGCUCUGGAAAUCUUACUGAUAAUGUUAACAUCCAAGCGACCCACUGUUGGCAACUCCAGAAUUACGAAAUAUGGACUUCAUGCAGCUGUGAAAAUACUGUUGUGUUCAUAAACAACUACUGUGAUUAUAGAGAAAUAAGAAAUACUGAAAAGAAAGCAACCAAAUCAUCCUUGGAAGGAGUGUCUUUGAGCAUUGCUGUCUGGGCUUUUGAAGGAAAUGUCAGUACAAUUCUAAUCCUAACCUAUAGUGGAAGGUGAACUGGGUCUUGGGGGCCCCCUGCCCUGGGCCUUGAACUUUUGAGGGUCAUACUCUUGUCUUCCUGUCUCUAUGAGGAGAGGAGUCGCAGGCACAAAAGGAUAUACCCUCUUGAGUCUACUUUGGUAGGAAGAAAUCUAGGAUGGUACACUAGAUUCCUAUCUUCCUCUCUCCUUGAAUGGAAAAAGACCUAUUAAUAUGAUGGAUGUCAUUCAUGUGAUUAGGUUAUAUUAUAUGGCAAAGGUGAAGGGCUUGGGAGAUGUAAUUAUAGCUUCUAAUCAGUUGGUUAUAAGUCAAUUAAGAGACUGUCCUGGGUGGUUCUGACCUAAUCAGGCAAAAUCCCUUAAAAGGAGGACCGAACCCUUGCUAAGAAGAAAAAUUCUCCUACUAGCCUUGGAAAAGCAAGUUGCCACAGGUUCUACAGCCCCAAGGGACUGAAUUUUGCCAAUAACCAAUGAGCUUGGUUAAGGACCCUGAGCCUCAGGUGAGACCCCAGGUCUGGUUGGCAUCUUGAGAUGAGAUCCUGAGCAGAAGACCAAGCUAAGCCAUGCAUGGACUCUUGGCUCCUGGAAACUACCAAAUAAUAAAUAUGUGCUGUUGUAAGCUAUUACAUUUAUGGUGAUUUGAGGUGACAGCAUAGAAUACUGGCUCACCCAUGUUCAUCUUCUGGCUGGUGGUACAGAACAUAUGGUCUGUUACUACUGGUCCAUGGUGAGAUAAAUACAGAAAGUAAGGGCCAAUGUUCCAUACUUUCUAUGGCAAUUCGAUACUUCUUGAACAUUUUAAUUGUAUUUUACAAAAGUAUUAGUCCACAGUAGAGUGGACAUUUAAAAACAACAACAACAACAACUGGGAGUAGUUCUUCACCAGAGAAGCACAGUUUCUAGUUCAUGAUCCAGGUAACUGGAACCCUAAAUUCCCCUGCACAAAUUGUGUCAAGCUGCUUUCAGAGCCUGCCCAGUCCUCUUUCUCUGGUCUGCCUAUCCAAGGACAUACAGUGCUGCUGCUGAGCUAAUCCUAGGCCUGAGUGUGGCCAAGGGGCAGCUCUUUAUAAGGGAGGGAGGCUGGAGGGAAUCAUGGGUCAGAGUGUCUACAGGUGAAUGUGAGCCCUUGAACAUGCAGGUGAGGAGAUAGGAAGAGACGGGGGAGGGAGGGUAUAACCAGAGGUCAGGGGCUAUGGAUAGCUUUCUACACAAUCUUUCACAGUUCCCUGAUGAACCAUGGGCAAUCCAUGUCAUUGUGGCUUUUAUGUCAUUGUGAAGGUCUGUUGAUCAAGGUAGAAAGUAAGAACAUAUUUUACUUAAUGUUGUGUUAUUUUGAUUUGUAUUUUUAAACAUUCUAGACACAGGCUCUGUGGGCUUCCAUUUGUACUCUUCACCGGCCUUGCAGAGGCUGAGUGAGUCUGGUGUGUGAUCAUUACUCAUGGGUCACUUCCAAGUUCUUUUUCCAGUGCCUGCAAACCUAGAACCCUGGUUUGCUAAAAUGCAAAGUGAAAGAUAUUGUUUAUUUUGUCUCUAGUGAAGUGCUCUCUGCACUGAUUAACUUUUU
RNAcentral lists this long non-coding RNA (2773 nucleotides) under Mustela putorius furo (domestic ferret). RNAcentral describes it as "lncRNA (ENSMPUG00000030112.1)". Lineage: Eukaryota; Metazoa; Chordata; Mammalia; Carnivora; Mustelidae. The record is from RNAcentral.